RNAcentral lists this ribosomal RNA (443 nucleotides) under uncultured bacterium. RNAcentral's name for it is "partial 16S ribosomal RNA". It matches the Rfam family "Bacterial small subunit ribosomal RNA", at positions 338 to 795 of the family's 1533-position model. The record is from RNAcentral.
CCUACGGGGGGCAGCAGUGGGGAAUAUUGGGCAAUGGGCGCAAGCCUGACCCAGCAACGCCGCGUGAAGGAAGAAGGCUUUCGGGUUGUAAACUUCUUUUCUGAGGGACGAAGAAAGUGACGGUACCUCAGGAAUAAGCCACGGCUAACUACGUGCCCGCCGCCGCGGUAAUACGCAGGUGGCAAGCGUUAUCCGGAUUUAUUGGGUGUAAAGGGCGGGUAGGCGGGAAAGCAAGGCAGAUGUGAAAACUCAGGGCUCAACCCUGGGCCUGCAUUUGAAACUGUUUUUCUGGAGUGCUGGGGGGGCAAUCGGAAUUCCGGGUGUAGCGGUGAAAUGCGUAGAUAGACGGAGGAACACCAGUGGCGAAGGCGGAUUGCUGGACAGUAACUGACGCUGAGGCGCGAAAGCGUGGGGAGCAAACAGGAUUAGAUACCCGAGUAGUC